UUCUUCAUCAGGAAGGGCAAGGCAACGAUCGCGCGUGGCACGAUGGCUGCCGCAACGGUUAGGGAAUUGGUACAUCGGUAAGCCUAUUGCGGCGAGCCGUGAGCCUCUUACCUAGGAGCCUCUUGGCUCGUUUGGGCCGUACAACCUCAAGAAGCUUGUAGUAAAAGACGUCAAGGAAACUCAUCGCGGCGGCAAUGCCUGCCCCCUUACACAGUACAAGGCAGGUUACGUAGUGUAGACGUGCCACAUGCAUUGCGAUGACCGGACAUCGUAGGGAUUUCACAUAUGUUGACAGGGGUAACGAUCAAAGUAAGACAGUGCAAUUAUUUUGUGGGCCACCUCUAAUUCGUAAGGUUUUGUUUCUAUCGAUUUG
Molecule: long non-coding RNA, 373 nt
Filed under: Volvox carteri
Lineage: Eukaryota; Viridiplantae; Chlorophyta; Chlorophyceae; Chlamydomonadales; Volvocaceae
Description: long non-coding RNA (VCAR_LNC002534)
Source: RNAcentral